CAUGCAAGUCGAGCGCCCCGCAAGGGGAGCGGCAGACGGGUGAGUAACGCGUGGGAAUCUACCGUGCCCUACGGAAUAGCUCCGGGAAACUGGAAUUAAUACCGUAUACGCCCUACGGGGGAAAGAUUUAUCGGGGUAUGAUGAGCCCGCGUUGGAUUAGCUAGUUGGUGGGGUAAAGGCCUACCAAGGCGACGAUCCAUAGCUGGUCUGAGAGGAUGAUCAGCCACAUUGGGACUGAGACACGGCCCAAACUCCUACGGGAGGCAGCAGUGGGGAAUAUUGGACAAUGGGCGCAAGCCUGAUCCAGCCAUGCCGCGUGAGUGAUGAAGGUCUUAGGAUUGUAAAGCUCUUUCACCGGUGAAGAUAAUGACGGUAACCGGAGAAGAAGCCCCGGCUAACUUCGUGCCAGCAGCCGCGGUAAUACGAAGGGGGCUAGCGUUGUUCGGAAUUACUGGGCGUAAAGCGCAUGUAGGCGGAUAUUUAAGUCAGGGGUGAAAUCCCGCAGCUCAACUGCGGAACUGCCUUUGAUACUGGGUAUCUUGAGUAUGGAAGAGGUGAGUGGAAUUCCGAGUGUAGAGGUGAAAUUCG
RNAcentral lists this ribosomal RNA (588 nucleotides) under Rhizobium sp. W7. RNAcentral describes it as "bacterial SSU rRNA". It matches the Rfam family "Bacterial small subunit ribosomal RNA", at positions 54 to 690 of the family's 1533-position model. Lineage: Bacteria; Pseudomonadati; Pseudomonadota; Alphaproteobacteria; Hyphomicrobiales; Rhizobiaceae. The record is from RNAcentral.